RNAcentral lists this transfer RNA (74 nucleotides) under Candidatus Janibacter merdipullorum. RNAcentral's name for it is "tRNA-Lys". It matches the Rfam family "tRNA". Rfam says of the family: Transfer RNA (tRNA) molecules are approximately 80 nucleotides in length. Their secondary structure includes four short double-helical elements and three loops (D, anti-codon, and T loops). Further hydrogen bonds mediate the characteristic L-shaped molecular structure. tRNAs have two regions of fundamental functional importance: the anti-codon, which is responsible for specific mRNA codon recognition, and the 3' end, to which the tRNAs corresponding amino acid is attached (by aminoacyl-tRNA synthetases). tRNAs cope with the degeneracy of the genetic code in two manners: having more than one tRNA (with a specific anti-codon) for a particular amino acid; and 'wobble' base-pairing, i.e. permitting non-standard base-pairing at the 3rd anti-codon position. Lineage: Bacteria; Bacillati; Actinomycetota; Actinomycetes; Micrococcales; Intrasporangiaceae. RNAcentral also lists the same sequence under 2 other names. The record is from RNAcentral.
GGGCCUCUAGCUCAACCGGUCAGAGCUGCGGACUUUUAAUCCGUAGGUUGUGGGUUCGAGUCCCACGGGGCCCA